This 301-nucleotide ribosomal RNA is filed under the name uncultured bacterium. RNAcentral describes it as "partial 16S ribosomal RNA". It matches the Rfam family "Bacterial small subunit ribosomal RNA", at positions 510 to 808 of the family's 1533-position model. The record is from RNAcentral.
CACCGCCGCGGUAAUACGAAGGGUGCAAGCGUUACUCGGAAUUACUGGGCGUAAAGCGUGCGUAGGUGGUGGUUUAAGUCCGUUGUGAAAGCCCUGGGCUCAACCUGGGAAUUGCAGUGGAUACUGGGUCACUAGAGUGUGGUAGAGGAUAGUGGAAUUUCCGGUGUAGCAGUGAAAUGCGUAGAGAUCGGAAGGAACAUCUGUGGCGAAGGCGACUAUCUGGGCCAACACUGACACUGAGGCACGAAAGCGUGGGGAGCGAACAGGAUUAGAUACCCCUGUAGUCCCUGUCUCUUAUACA